This 1142-nucleotide ribosomal RNA is filed under the name fungal endophyte. Its description in RNAcentral is "eukaryotic LSU rRNA". The stretch from base 548 to 1142 matches the Rfam family "Eukaryotic large subunit ribosomal RNA", at positions 1 to 605 of the family's 3401-position model. Lineage: Eukaryota; Fungi. The record is from RNAcentral.
GGAUCAUUACAAAACAGAGUAUUCGUACUCUUCAACCCUUUGUGAACUAUACCAAUCGUCAGUUGCUUCGGCGGGGGGCCCCUGGGAGGGGCACCGGGGCCCGGGCCUGAGCCCGGGGUCCCGCCGGAGGAGCGCAACCUAAACUCUUGCUGUAUCAGUGGUAAUUCCGAGUCAAAACACAAAAACAAGUUAAAACUUUCAACAACGGAUCUCUUGGUUCUGGCAUCGAUGAAGAACGCAGCGAAAUGCGAUAAGUAAUGUGAAUUGCAGAAUUCAGUGAAUCAUCGAAUCUUUGAACGCACAUUGCGCCCGCCAGUAUUCUGGCGGGCAUGCCUGUUCGAGCGUCAUUGGAACACUCAGGCCUUAGGGUCUGGCUUCGGGGCGGUUCCCGCGAGGGAAGCCCUCAGAUACAUAGGCGGACCUCUUGGGCUCCGAGCGCAGUAGUAAAAUUCUCGCUCCGGAGCUUACUGUAGGGAGUGGCCGGCCCGCUUCUGACCUGGAAGCGGUGACCCAGGGGUGCAAGCAUACUCGGAUUUGCACGUUUAUUUGACCUCGGAUCAGGUAGGAAUACCCGCUGAACUUAAGCAUAUCAAUAAGCGGAGGAAAAGAAACCAACAGGGAUUGCCCCAGUAACGGCGAGUGAAGCGGCAACAGCUCAGAUUUGAAAUCUGGCCCCCAGGGCCCGAGUUGUAAUCUGUAGAGGAUGCUUCUGGCAAGGCGCCGUCCGAGUUCCCUGGAACGGGACGCCGGAGAGGGUGAGAGCCCCGUACAGGCGGACGCCGAGCCUCUGUGAAGCUCCUUCGACGAGUCGAGUAGUUUGGGAAUGCUGCUCAAAGCGGGAGGUAAAUUUCUUCUAAAGCUAAAUAUAGGCCAGAGACCGAUAGCGCACAAGUAGAGUGAUCGAAAGAUGAAAAGCACUUUGAAAAGAGGGUUAAAAAGCACGUGAAAUUGUUGAAAGGGAAGCGCCUGUGACCAGACUCGCGCCCGGCGGAUCAUCCGGCGUUCUCGCCGGUGCACUCCGCCGGGCUCGGGCCAGCAUCGGUUCUGGCGGGGGGAUAAAGGCGGCGGGGAUGUGACUCCCCCGGGAGUGUUAUAGCCCGCCGCUCAAUGCCCCCGCCGGGACCGAGGACCGCGCGUAUGCA